This 343-nucleotide unclassified non-coding RNA is filed under the name soil metagenome. RNAcentral's name for it is "partial contains 5.8S ribosomal RNA, internal transcribed spacer 2, and large subunit ribosomal RNA". The stretch from base 2 to 121 matches the Rfam family "5.8S ribosomal RNA", at positions 35 to 154 of the family's 154-position model. The record is from RNAcentral.
GGAUGAAGAACGUAGCGAAAUGCGAUAAGUAAUGUGAAUUGCAGAAUUCAGUGAAUCAUCGAAUCUUUGAACGCACAUUGCGCCCGCCAGCACUCUGGCGGGCAUGCCUGUUCGAGCGUCAUUUCAACCAUCAAGCCCCCAGGGGCUUGUGCUGGGGCCCUGCGGCUGCCCGCAGGCCCUGAAAACCAGUGGCGGGCUCGCUAGUCACACCGAGCGCAGUAGCACAUCUCGCUCAGGGCGUGCGGCGGGCUCCUGCCGUGAAACCCCCCACUGUAACCCCAAAGGUUGACCUCGGAUCAGGUAGGAAUACCCGCUGAACUUAAGCAUAUCAAUAAGCGGAGGA